UGGGGAAUAUUGCGCAAUGGGGGGAACCCUGACGCAGCAAUACCGCGUGAGUGAAGAAGGUCUUCGGAUCGUAAAGCUCUGUUAUUGGGGAAGAAAAAAAGACGGUACCCAAGGAGAAAGUUCCGGCUAACUACGUGCCAGCAGCCGCGGUAAUACGUAGGGAACAAGCGUUGUCCGGAUUUACUGGGCGUAAAGGGCAUGUAGGCGGUUUUUUAAGUCAGAUGUGAAAGGUACCGGCUCAACCGGUGACAUGCAUUUGAAACUGAAGAACUUGAGUAUUGGAGAGGCAAGUGGAAUUCCUGGUGUAGCGGUGAAAUGCGUAGAGAUCAGGAGGAACACCGGUGGCGAAGGCGGCUUGCUGGACAAAUACUGACGCUGAGAUGCGAAAGCGUGGGGAGCAAACAGG
This 406-nucleotide ribosomal RNA is filed under the name uncultured prokaryote. Its description in RNAcentral is "bacterial SSU rRNA". It matches the Rfam family "Bacterial small subunit ribosomal RNA", at positions 355 to 776 of the family's 1533-position model. The record is from RNAcentral. RNAcentral also lists the same sequence under 1 other name.